Long non-coding RNA from Anas platyrhynchos (mallard), 2169 nucleotides. RefSeq lists it as uncharacterized. NCBI's taxonomy places the organism in Eukaryota, Metazoa, Chordata, Aves, Anseriformes, Anatidae. The record is from RefSeq and is a predicted model, not a curated record.
UGAGGGGUCGCCCUCCCCUUGCAGCUGAGGGGGGGUUAAGGGGGAAGCCGUGUGGAUACAGGGUUUAAUGAAGAGCUUUUUCUACGUGUGAAGGAUCACAACGCUGCGAGGCGCCAGCCCCGCACUGCGAGAUAGCGGCUGGGGGGCUUUGCUAUACCGAAUCCGAGCUGUGCCAUUGCAACAGGGGAAAGCCAGGCUGCUUAAGUCAAUGCUUAAAAUAACACGAACAGGUUGGAGUGAAAGGAUGUUCUCUUCUUCCACUAUGGAUUACAAUGGAGCAUUCACCAUGACAAGAACAAAAGAGGUGUGCAGGGAGGAAUAGGUUGAUGACAGACAACAGCAACACUGAAAUUUAGUUGUGUUUUUUGUUUGUUUGUUUUGAACAACUACACCUUGUUCAUGUUUUUUUCCCCAUGUAGGCCAUAAGGUCUUUCAAUUAUACUUAGAUUGAAUCUAAGACAUUUUAGACUCAGCACUAAUUCAGAACUUCAUGUCUCCAAAGUGUGUAUAUUUGUUUUCAUUUUUAACCUUUUUCAGUUUUAGCAAUUAGAAAGAUAAUUUCAAAGGUAGCUCACUUUAUAUAAUGAAGGGUACAAUGAUAAAACACUUUCACUUUUCAUUGAUGCGAUGCUCUACAGAAACUAGUAAUAAACUCCCUCAAAUUUUUGUACUUAGAAGCUGAUAGUAAUUGUUAAAUGUUGCAGUUCUACAGCUACAUUUUUAUCUAUUUGCUCCACCUGCUGGUGCAUUUUUCUUUAAAGAAAUCUUUAGAAGCCUAAACAUAUAAAAAAAUUGGCCAAAGAUAUACCCUAAGAGGCAUACUUGACUUUAAGGUUAAUUUAUGUAAUAUACUUAUUAAAUUCAACCUGAUCCCAAUAAUUUUUCAGUCAAAAAAAGCCAAUGGAUACAUAGACUUAGGGAAACAUGACUCAUAGCUUACUCUUUGGACAAUGCCAUUCAUUUUUAAUGUGACAGUAACACAGAGGGUCAUCAUUUUCCAUCAUCUAUUAUUCUUCUCAAAAAAAAAAAAAAUGUUCUGUCUUUCAUAUGGGAAUCUCUCUACAUAACUGAUUUGCCUCCUGAAUUUUCCAAGAUAACUUUCUUUUUAGACAAUUAGUGUGAGGGAAAGUCCUGUUUCUUCAGCACAUUUAAUUGUUCUCUGCUCAGAGACAGAAAAAAAAAUUUAAAACACCAAUCAAAAAGCACUCUCUAUUGGAAGUUUCACAUAAUAGAUUACUUUCCAUUCCCUAUAUAUAUAUAUAUUUUUUUUUAAUUUUACAUUUAAGUGCAAGGAAAAGGUAAGAAUAGCCCAUCAAAAGCAACCUUCCAAGGCUAUGAUAUUUUCCAAUAAUACUCUAGGACAGAAGGAGCUUUCCAUCCCUUCCUCCCUUACCAAAUAAUUAGAAACAGUAAAUGUGAAAAGAAAAGCAAUCCUCACAAACAAAUUUUUGGUAUUGGAUUUUUUUUUUCAUCAUCAUCAUUCACACACCAUUAGUUUAGGGUUCUUUGAUCUAACCAGUUUAAUCAGAACUAAGGUGGAUACCAUUAACCCCAGGUUUUCUGGAACUGAACUGGCACUUUUUGACAAAUGGAAAAUUUUAACUUAUUUCUGUAUUAUUUUAAUAAGUUUUCUGUACACUGCACCAAAUUGAUUGCAGAAUGCUUGUCUAAAGUUGGAGAGAAUAUACACUGUCCAGGAAAUUUUAAUUAGCAUAGCUGGAAGAGAAAAGGUCUUCUGGCACUGAAUAACAAUCAAAGAAAAACAACACUGUUAAGAAAUGGUUAAAGACAUUGAAAAACUGCAGUAUACUUGGGGAGACUGUUUGUAAUUUAUUUUUAAUAAAUCCAGACUACAUAUAUACCCCUCUUUCUAGACUACCAAUUCAUUUUGCAUGGCUAAUCUGCUUAACUGACCAGACUACCAAAAUUAACCGAUUAAUGUAAUUUUAAAGGAUGAUUUAACAAAAAAAAAAAAAAAAAAAAACUCCAGUGUAAAAUGAGAUGCACCAGUAACACAGCUUUAGAGAAUUUUUCUUUUAAAUGGAGAAAGUUCUCCUCAUCGGUAUCUUACCAAGUGAUGAAUCAGAAGCAAACUUAUGUUGAAAACAGUUUUUGUUCUACGCAUUAUGGAUUUCACAUUAAAUAAAAACCAAAACCCUAUGUGCAACA